AUUGAACGCUGGCGGAAUGCUUUACACAUGCAAGUCGAGCGGCAGCGCGGGGCAACCUGGUGGCGAGCGGCGAACGGGUGAGUAAUGCAUCGGAACAUGUCCAUGUCGUGGGGGAUAGCCCGGCGAAAGCCGGAUUAAUACCGCAUACGCCCGAGAGGGGAAAGCAGGGGACCGCAAGGCCUUGCGCGAUUGGGUUGGCCGAUGUCCGAUUAGCUUGUUGGUGAGGUAAAGGCUUACCAAGGCGAUGAUCGGUAGCUGGUCUGAGAGGAUGAUCAGCCACACUGGGACUGAGACACGGCCCAGACUCCUGCGGGAGGCAGCAGUGGGGAAUUUUGGACAAUGGGGGCAACCCUGAUCCAGCCAUUCCGCGUGAGUGAAGAAGGCC
RNAcentral lists this ribosomal RNA (385 nucleotides) under uncultured bacterium. Its description in RNAcentral is "bacterial SSU rRNA". It matches the Rfam family "Bacterial small subunit ribosomal RNA", at positions 29 to 416 of the family's 1533-position model. The record is from RNAcentral.